GGCCGGGGCGUGCCAGUGCCUGGCCGAGCGCUACGCGGCGCUGGCCCUGGAGGGGCUGCUGGGCCGCCUGGGACCCCGCCUGCUCUGCCGCCUGCUCCUCGCCUGCCGCAGCGGGGACAGCUGGGACAAGGACGUGGGGACGCUGCCACCGCCCCGGAUGCUGGAGACCGUCGUGGUGCGGCUGGCGGAGUGUGUCAGCGAGGAGGACCCCAAAGGUGUCGGUGUCCCUGCGCUGUCCCUGCCCCUGGGCCCCUGUGCCCUGGGCCCCAUCUUCUGGUGCUCGGGCCCGGAGGCCGCCCGGCGCUGCCAGGCCCUGCAGCACUGCCAGGAGCACGUCUGGCUGUAGGGGGGCACCAGGACCCCCCAGCAUUGCACAAUAAAGUCUGGAUGCAC
Pseudopodoces humilis (Tibetan ground-tit) is the source of this 393-nucleotide non-coding RNA. Lineage: Eukaryota; Metazoa; Chordata; Aves; Passeriformes; Paridae. The record is from RefSeq and is a predicted model, not a curated record.